AACAAGGUUUCCGUAGGUGAACCUGCGGAAGGAUCAUUACCGAGUGAGGGCCCUCUGGGUCCAACCUCCCACCCAUGUUUAUUGUACCUUGUUGCUUCGGCGGGCCCGCCUCACGGCCGCCGGGGGGCUUCUGCCCUCUGGCCCGCGCCCGCCGAAGACACCAUUGAACACUGUCUGAAGAUUGCAGUCUGAGCAAUUAGCUAAAUAAGUUAAAACUUUCAACAACGGAUCUCUUGGUUCCGGCAUCGAUGAAGAACGCAGCGAAAUGCGAUACGUAAUGUGAAUUGCAGAAUUCAGUGAAUCAUCGAGUCUUUGAACGCACAUUGCGCCCCUUGGUAUUCCGGGGGGCAUGCCUGUCCGAGCGUCAUUGCUGCCCUCAAGCACGGCUUGUGUGUUGGGCCCCGUCCUCCUUCCCGGGGGACGGGCCCGAAAGGCAGCGGCGGCACCGCGUCCGGUCCUCGAGCGUAUGGGGCUUUGUCACCCGCUCUUGUAGGCCCGGCCGGCGCUUGCCGACAACAAUCAAUCUUUUUUCAGGUUGACCUCGGAUCAGGUAGGGAUACCCGCUGAACUUAAGCAUAUCAAUAA
RNAcentral lists this ribosomal RNA (585 nucleotides) under Penicillium sp. MAB-2010i. RNAcentral describes it as "eukaryotic LSU rRNA". The stretch from base 214 to 367 matches the Rfam family "5.8S ribosomal RNA". Lineage: Eukaryota; Fungi; Ascomycota; Eurotiomycetes; Eurotiales; Aspergillaceae. The record is from RNAcentral.